CUCUCCAAUCGAGGUAAGCUCAAUAAUUGGGAACCGUGCCCCUCUAAUUAGGCUGGCCCACGAAACCCCCGUCACUGCAGUGCCCACUUUAUAAUCCACCAACUAAUAAAAUCAUAAUAGUAUGACAUGGCUCACUUAACACAUUCAAGGCAAAUCAAAGAAGUUCACAUAUACUUUAAAUCAUAAAAAUAACCAGUCAUACCCACAUUUAUCAUAAGCCAUUUAAUGUAAAAUCAUGGAUAAACAACACAAUCAUAGUAUAGGUCUCCAAUUACUCUAUUUUUGAAAUCAUUAUUAAAUUUGAAAAAAUUUUAUAAAAUCUCAUUUUCCCAAAAAACACAAUAAUUUUCCAAUUAAACCAUUUUUCCAUAAAAUCACACAAUUAAAUAAAUCUACUCUAGAUAAUUAAGACGAUAGUAAGUUUAUUCACUGUUCUAGGAGUCGAUAUACUCCUAUUUUCAGUCCGCGGGUACAGUCCUUUACCCGUAUCUAAUGGCUCACCACCUAGCCAUAAUCCAUGGCACAUAUUUUAAUUAAAUUGUGUCUAACAGUCAUAAGUUAUUUCAGGCUCGAUAUAUAUGCAUGAUAUGAAAUGAAAAAUGCACAAGUAGCCAUCUAGACCCGGCAUUGACCUAAGUCAAUUUUUCAUCCAAUAAAUUGGCCAAUGAGUCCAAUUUCACUCCAACUUUCUCCAUUUCUUUUCCAAUCCCUCAAUUCACCAAGCACAACUAAUUAACACACAAUUAGGCAAAUUUAUCUUCACUUUUCUUCUUGGAACUUUCGGCCAUUGAAGGUUCAUGGGGAAAAUGGAUUCUUUUCUUGUUGUUUUGUUUCUAAACAUGUUUAACUAACUCUAAACACCAACAUAACUCAAAAUCAAACAAUUCCAACAUCUUUCUCUCUCCAUACCCAUUUUGACCAGCCAUAAUUUCAUCAUGAAAACAUGUAAUUUAACCAUGGAAAUUAAGGAAAAAUGCAUGGGUAAGGUAAAUCACUAGCAAAAUCAAAGAAAUUUUACCUUUGCUUGAUCAAAUCCUUGAAUUCCAACACUUUCUCUUUGAUUUUUUCCACCUAGGGUUUGUUCUUCCUUGGUUUCUCUUCUCUUCUGGUUUGG
This 1114-nucleotide long non-coding RNA is filed under the name Theobroma cacao (cacao). RNAcentral's name for it is "long non-coding RNA (TCAC_LNC002992)". Lineage: Eukaryota; Viridiplantae; Streptophyta; Magnoliopsida; Malvales; Malvaceae. The record is from RNAcentral.